RNAcentral lists this long non-coding RNA (2149 nucleotides) under Nicotiana tabacum (common tobacco). RNAcentral describes it as "long non-coding RNA (NTAB_LNC004595)". The record is from RNAcentral. Lineage: Eukaryota; Viridiplantae; Streptophyta; Magnoliopsida; Solanales; Solanaceae.
UUGUUUCCAAGGACAGGAAUUAGAAAUUUAGAAUUAGGUUUCUCUCAAGUCUCAAACAAAAAAGUAAAGAACAAACCGUCUGCGACUGCUGCGAGUGAAGAAUAGAUCGGCACGACGACUUCACUACCUCGGUGUCGACGACUCUCAAGUGUAACUGCUUAUUUUCUCAUUUUUGACCUUCAUUCUUCAAUCUUCAACUCUUCAACAGGUUCACAACUUCUUCAUUCUUUAAUAUUUAGUUUGUAUUUUGUAACCAAUAACUUCUUUUUUGAGUACAAAAGGAACUAUAAAGUAUAAACCCAAUACUUUAGUUAAAAAAUAAAAUGGAAAAUGCUUAUGCAAUCUGCAAAAAUAAUAAGGAAAAAAAGUCUUUCUUAUCAAUCUGUUGUUAACCAACGAUGAUGAGCCUUAACCAAACAUAUUUUGUUAUAACAAUCUCAUCAGAAACAGUUAAUUGAGCAAUUGGACUAAUAUAGUCUUCACUCUUCAUUAUUUGUACAAUAAGGUUAUACUUAGAGAACAAUUCAAGUUUCUGACAAUUAAAGUCUUAAAUAGCCAAGAAUCUAGCAAAAAGUCUUAGGACUGUGAUUUUUUUAAAUAUAGAUCAAUUCAUUGUUAUCUAGUCCUUAUGGGUAUGUGGUAUGGGUAUUGGAAUUAAUUUUAAGCACUCGUAUCUGCUCUGUGGAUUUAUAAUUGGUUUUGGAUGAUUUGUUUUUAAUUUGAUCCCUACAAACCCAUAUAUAACAAUUUUUGUUUUGAUUUGCAUAUUUCAUCUUUGAUGCUAAGAAAUCAUUGAUAGAAAUUAGUUUAUCUUUGCUUCAGUAUUAUUAAAGGUGAAAUCUUUGUUGCUAAGAAAGUAAUUAAUAAGGUGUAUAUCUAUACUCAACUCCAGUCUCAAUUUGUAUUUGUAUCUAUUUUAAUUUUGUAUAGAUGGCAGAUGAAAGUAGAGUAAGUGAUGUCGAUUCAACUGAAAGCUUAUCUAUUACUGAAGAUAGCAAUUCCAACACAAUUGAUACUCAAGAUUCUAAGAAAAGAAAAGCCAUAGAACCUAGAUCCGAUGUUUGGAAAUAUUUUGAUAAAUUUGGAAAAAUGGGGUGGUAAAGCGAGGUAUAAAUAUUGUAAAUAGGCUUAUGCUGCUAAUUCAUCUAGGAAUGGAACAAUAUGAUUGAGAAAUUAUUUUACUAGAUGCAAACAAUACCCACCUAACAUUGAUAAAGAUAAUACUCAAACAAGGAUAAACUUUCAAUCUUGCCAUUGGGAUGGAGGAUCGCUUUGGAAAUUUGAUCAAGAAAGGGUUAGGAGGGCUUUAAUUAAGAUGAUAGUUAUUGAUGAACUACCAUUUAGCUUUGUAAAAAAGGUAGGCUUUAUGAAGUUUAUGAGAAUAGCUCAACCACUAUUUCGUCUUCCUUCUCAUAGAACAAUAAUAAGGGAUUGUUAUGAAGUUUACGGUAAAUUAAAGCAAAAUCUAAGAAGGUCUUUUAGAGAAGCACAACCAAAAAUUUGCCUCACAACAGACACUUAAACUUCAUUGCAAAGAAUAAAUUAUAUGUGUUUGACAACCCACUUCAUUGAUAGGGAUUUGAAGUUGAAGAAAAAAAUACUAAAUUUUUACCCUAUCACUAGUCAAAAGAGUGAAGAGAUGGCUAAAGCUAUUGAUAAUUAUUUGCUUGAAUAAAAAUUAGAUAAGGUGUUCACUAUUACCAUGGACAAUGCUUCCUCAAAUGAUGUCACAAUCAAAGAAUUGUCUAAAAAAAUAGUUAGAUAUGUGGAAAACUAAUAUGAUGGGUGGUAAGCAUCUUCAUGUGAGAUGCAUGGCUCAUAUACUUAAUCUAAUUGUGCAAGAUGGUUUGAUAGAAAUUGAUGUUUCUGUACUGUGAGGUAUGUGAGAUCAUCGCCUGCAAGGACCUUAAAGUUUAAGUAAUAUUGUGCACAUAUAAAAGUAGAAUGUACCAAAACAUUGUGUUUGGAUGUUCCUACUAGGUGGAAUUACACCUAUUUGAUGUUGGAUAUGACACAAAACUUUGAAAAGGUAUUUGACAAAUUUCAUCUUUUUGAUGAUGAAUUUUCUGCUUAUCUUUGUUCUCAUCUUUGUGAAGACGGUAGUAGUGAAGGUCCUCUUGAAUCUGAUGAUUGGGUGAAUGUGAGGAAC